RNAcentral lists this ribosomal RNA (164 nucleotides) under Cardamine x insueta. RNAcentral's name for it is "5.8S ribosomal RNA". It matches the Rfam family "5.8S ribosomal RNA". Rfam says of the family: 5.8S ribosomal RNA (5.8S rRNA) is a component of the large subunit of the eukaryotic ribosome. It is transcribed by RNA polymerase I as part of the 45S precursor that also contains 18S and 28S rRNA. Lineage: Eukaryota; Viridiplantae; Streptophyta; Magnoliopsida; Brassicales; Brassicaceae. The record is from RNAcentral.
AAAACGACUCUCGGCAACGGAUAUCUCGGCUCUCGCAUCGAUGAAGAACGUAGCGAAAUGCGAUACUUGGUGUGAAUUGCAGAAUCCCGUGAACCAUCGAGUCUUUGAACGCAAGUUGCGCCCCAAGCCUUCUGGCCGAAGGCAUGUCUGCCUCGGUGUCACAA